UACAGGGGGGGCAAGCGUUGUUCGGAAUUACUGGGCGUAAAGGGCUCGUAGGCGGCCGGCUAAGUCCGACGUGAAAUCCCCAGGCUUAACCUGGGAACUGCGUCGGAUACUGGCGGGCUUGAAUCCGGGAGAGGGAUGCGGAAUUCCAGGUGUAGCGGUGAAAUGCGUAGAUAUCUGGAGGAACACCGGUGGCGAAGGCGGCAUCCUGGACCGGCAUUGACGCUGAAUAGCGAAAGCCAGGGGAGCAAACAGG
Molecule: ribosomal RNA, 253 nt
Filed under: uncultured bacterium
Lineage: Bacteria
Description: partial 16S ribosomal RNA
Rfam family: Bacterial small subunit ribosomal RNA
Source: RNAcentral